Xyrichtys novacula (pearly razorfish) is the source of this 826-nucleotide non-coding RNA. NCBI's taxonomy places the organism in Eukaryota, Metazoa, Chordata, Actinopteri, Labriformes, Labridae. The record is from the annotation of a GenBank genome assembly.
CUUAGUUUAAGGGUGUGCAUAUUUAUGCAACCAGGUUAUUUUAACUUUUCUGUUUUUUAUUUUUCCCCUUGAAGGUUUCAGUUUGUUUUUCAGUUGUGUUGUUCAGGUUAUAGGUCACAUUAAAAGUGGAAAAAGUUGUAUAAAUAUUUAUCUUGCUGUUAUUUUCUUACAUCACGAUAACCUGGCAGUUGAACAGGAGUGUGUCGACGUCUUAUAUCCACUGUAUCUGGUCCUGGUUCAGUUUGAACCUCAUUAGUAGAUGCAGUGAUGAACUGAGUUUUUGAAGUGAUUCUGAGUCCAUGUGGUGAUUUCCACUUUGGAAAGUGGUUUUGGUUCUGGUCCCUUUAGUUCAGACGUCUCUCUGAAUUAUCUGAUGUUCUGCAUACGAUGAAAUCCACUCAGGAACUGUUGACCUGUCGGCUCACACGGUCUCUCACAGAGUCCUGAACCUCCUCCUGAAGACUCCGCCCCUUCACAGACACGUAACUGACAGCAGGUCUUGGAUCAGUAGUCCCCAUAGACUGUAUCUAGAAUAGACGCCGUCUGCCUCCCUUCUCUGAGAACAGCGCCCUCUGGUGACAGGCUGCAGUAUAGGUCAUAAACCCCGCCUCCUUAUGGAGCUGUGGACAAACUUAAUAAAUGAAUGACACAGAAUAUAAAUGUUUCUCCCCCCUGGUUGUGAUGUUGACAUGUAGUUACUGUCAGACUGGUUUGUGCUCAAGUCCUCUUUUUUCUGUACAGCUCCAUUUUUAAAAGUUAUUAGGGGGUUCAUGUUUUCAAUGAUUGACACCUGAUACAGCCUAUGGGAGGACAGAGAUUGAGUAGA